CCUUUGAUAGCUCAGUUGGUAGAGCAGGGGACUGUAGAUUUGUAACUGUGAUCCCUAGGUCGCUUGUUCGAAUCCUGCUCGAAGGA
This 86-nucleotide transfer RNA is filed under the name Nematostella vectensis (starlet sea anemone). It matches the Rfam family "tRNA". From Rfam's summary of the family: Transfer RNA (tRNA) molecules are approximately 80 nucleotides in length. Their secondary structure includes four short double-helical elements and three loops (D, anti-codon, and T loops). Further hydrogen bonds mediate the characteristic L-shaped molecular structure. tRNAs have two regions of fundamental functional importance: the anti-codon, which is responsible for specific mRNA codon recognition, and the 3' end, to which the tRNAs corresponding amino acid is attached (by aminoacyl-tRNA synthetases). tRNAs cope with the degeneracy of the genetic code in two manners: having more than one tRNA (with a specific anti-codon) for a particular amino acid; and 'wobble' base-pairing, i.e. permitting non-standard base-pairing at the 3rd anti-codon position. Lineage: Eukaryota; Metazoa; Cnidaria; Anthozoa; Actiniaria; Edwardsiidae. The record is from Rfam by way of RNAcentral.